UCAAACGUUUUUGAAUCGCCCCAAUACUAGAUAUCAUCAGAUAAAAUUUUAGUUUCCAAACUAAUCGUGAGACGCCAAGAGAAAAUGAAGAUUCUUAGAAAAUGGUCGAAGAGUUCAUUCAAAAAUUGCGCCACAACUCCGUUGGGUACUUGGUUGGAAAAAUUUAAAAUGUUAUAGUUCAUAUUCUGUGAAGGCACGGUAAAUGGCAGGGCAUAGCGUAUCAUUGGUACCUCGCGUACCUGCAGGAAUAAAAUAUACCCAUGCCUCUUACCCAGCAACUCCUAUCCCUACACUCAAAUGAAUCAAACAGGCUAAUUUAUAAGAAAUUUCAUAUCAGUUCUACUGUAUCCUUGUUGUAUAACAUUGAUAUGGAUUAAUAUGCGUAUCAUCUGCAAAGCACUUCUAAUUCAACAGCAUCUUAAUAAACACAACAGUCAUUGGCUUACAUUGAAGCUAUACGCAAAAGACAUAUAACCAGUACAUGCCUCGUAUAUAGUUUCGGCGGGUUAAACGGCAACGCAUUUGUUAUAUGCGUAUUCUGCAUAUCAUCAGUAUUAUUUUAUCCAGUGAUCGCAACCAUUGCAACAGAUGGAGAGUUUGUCUAGCAAAAAUACUGAAGGAGUAGCAAUUCUUUCUUUGCUCUUUUGUAAAUUUUGAAUGUUUGCAAAAUGUUUCAGCCGAGGUUUCACCAAUGGUCUCGUUUCAAGAGAAUUGAAGUGGCAUCUUACAUAUGGUUGGGAUCAAAGCUUAGAGAUAAAGAUAUUAUUGACAAUGGAAAGAAAACGAUGAACUUUCAAGGACACCAACCAAAAAACUCCGUGAACGCCUAUGUACUGGGAAGGCUCUCUCAUUGGUGAACAAAAAAAUAGCCUCGAAGUUAUUACAUGUUACUAAUGAAU
Molecule: long non-coding RNA, 899 nt
Organism: Aedes aegypti (yellow fever mosquito)
Lineage: Eukaryota; Metazoa; Arthropoda; Insecta; Diptera; Culicidae
Exons: 3
Source: RefSeq, a predicted model, not a curated record